AUGUCCACACAAGGAAUGAAAUGUCAAACGUUGUCCAAUUCCCUGCUGAAACAGGAGGGAGAGAGCAGAUCUUCCCGGGAUACACCUUCAGGCUCUACAAACUAUAAUGCCAAAGGAAGCAAAUGGGCCAUCUCUACCAAUUUUGAGACUUUGUGUAACCUAACAGCUGGUUCAAGUGGAAAAAGCUCCAGAGACCCAAGUCCAAGGCGAGAGAUGACUACCUCUUUGGAACAAGAUAAAGACAAGUAUGAUAAAAGCAGGAGGCGGGAAAUGAAAAAUGAGAAAAUGGGAAGCAAAGGAGGAUACAACGACACAGAGCCGAGGAGACAUGUUGAAAGUGAAAGAAUUUCCGAUUCUCGUCUUAGAGAUGCUGAGUGGGUAGUGAGAGAAAGAAAGCCAGAAUAUGAUGCAAGCAAACAAGACAUGAAGAAAAAGAGGAAGAAGGGUGACACGUUUCCCAGAAUUAAAAAUGGAGACCGAGAUCCUGAUCCCAGAGUAAUGCCUCCUGAGAUGGAAAAAGAAAGGCGGCAUGGACAUCGACCCAAAAGAGAGGAAACACAGUUUUGGGAGGAAAAAAUUGAUAAGCAUAAGAUCAGGAUGAGGAGAAAGGAAGAUGGUAAAAGUCCAGGAAGAAGACCUACAGAAGAUGAGAGAGCACAAAAGAGGGAACUAUAUAAGAUGUCUGGGGUAGAGUUUCGGGACACAACAAGGGAGACGAUUGAUCGACAGGACAUGAGAGACAGAGUAGCAGCUAGAAGAAGAGAAGAUAUGAGACUUGACUUGGAUGAAAGGAAUGCCAGAAUGAAUUCACAACAGAGAACAGAAAGAGAGAUGUAUGGGAGGACUCAGGGAAGGACAGUUGCAAAGAGUGAAGGAGACAUUGAUGAGAGAAGAGACAAAAUGAGAGACAGAAGAGGGGAAGAGGGGGACUACAUGAGCAAAAUGCAACAUAACAGGGACAGAGAUAGACACAGUGGCAGAGGAACAGAAGCGGAAAGACCCAGAAGGAAAGAAGAGGCCACCUUUGACAGAUGCACAGAGACUGACCGGAGAAUAGCAAGACAGGUAGACAAAGAGAGAGAGAGACAAAUGGAAACUCGAAAAGACUUCAGUGGUUACAGAAGAGAAGAUGAUCAAAUCCGAAGGGAGAGGAGAGCCAGGGAAAUGCUUGAAAGGCGGGAACACGCAACGGCAGAGAGAAGGAACAGAUCCACAAGUGAUCCAGAUCCAAGAGUGCCACCGCGAGUCCAAAGCAACAGAGAGUUGACCAGCAGCAAGGAUGGUGAGAAUAUUAGAAGAGACAGAGCUUUUUAUGAGGAGAGGGGUCCAAUGACAAAUUGGGCUGCUGAAAUAGAAAGAAUCAAAGAAAUCCCCAAAAAGCAUAGAGGAGGAAACACGAGGAUUGAGCAGGAGCGGAGAAGGAUGUGGUUAGAGCCACAGAAGGACAGAAACAGUGCUGAUGAAGACAGAGAAAGGUAUAGAAGGUGGAAAGACAGAGAAAGAGAGAAAGAGAUGGAUGUCAAGUCACAGGCAGAAAGGGCAAGAGAUGUGCAACGAAUAAAAGCAGAACCAAAUGAGAGGGACUUUGACCAAAGGAGUCACGAAGGAAGGCAUGGAGGAGCGAAUGGGAAUGAUGAGAGGACUGAAAAUGGGAGAAAAACAUUUAGAGAAGGGAAGGGAUAUCUGUCCGACAGUGACGGAAGGACAGGAAGAAAGCUGCAGGGGUGUGUGGAGGGAGAGAAUGUGGUAGAUGACAACAAGGAGAGUGGCACAGAGGAAGAGGGAGGGGGUGAUUACUUAGUGCGCUCCGGUAGCGAAGGAGGAAGUGAUGCCGGCUGGAUGCAAGACAGGGACAGAAUGCUGUCAGUAGAGAACAGCUCUGGUGGAGAUGAAGAGGAUGAAAGAGAAGAGGAGGAUAAAAAUGUUUUGUGUGAGGAUCCCACUUCUGCUAGUUCCAAAAGUUUUGAAGGGGAUGAGAGGAAAGAAGACUGGGUGACGAAGAAGAAAGUGACUGAUGAGGAUGAACAAGGUAGGCAACAGAAUUCAAACAUUAUUUUCAGUGUGACUGGGCAAAGUCAUCCUCAGUCAGAAGCCACCCAGUUGUCAUUGUCAGAAAAUGACGAGGUGGGUGGAGCAGAAAUAGAUGAAGCAAAUAUGGAAAAACAUACUCAACGUAGUCAUGAUAUCACACAUGAAAAUCCUCAGCUGACAUCAAGCGAAACAGAUGAGCAGCCAGUUUUAACCAACAGAGAUAAAGAAAGCGACCACAGCACAUCAAGAUUCACCACAGAAGAUGCUAAAGAAGACGUUCAAUGCGAAGCAUCCCAAAAGCUCCAAGAUGAAGAACUCGGAGGCGGAAACAAGAGCAAAGAGGGUCCUUGUGUAAAAAUAAGACCAAUGAAAAGAGACUCACAGACUGAAAAACUCCUUAAACGUUGGAGAGAGCAAACAAAUGAGCCAAACACUUCUGAGCAAACGCGUCCCCUAUUGGAGGAUAUAAACACUGAAUCAAUGAGUCCAGAGGAAAUUGAGAGGAUUCAGAUUAGAAUGAGUAGAGUGUGGGCCACAUCCGAAGAGCCAAAACGACAUUCCCAAGCCGCUCACAUGAAAUGGGCCAAGGAUGUCAUGCGUUUGUACAUGGGCAACUCCGAGGAACAGGUGGAGGACCAAAACACAGGACCACGGGAAGAUCAAGGGGUCGCUGGAUCCGAGUACCACCAGGAACCCCAGGUGGUCUCACAAGUUAGCUUUGAUCUUCCCACUGUUAUACUGACAAGAGACGAUCACUUGGCGCCGGACCUGGAGGAGGAGUUAGGAGGUAUGAGGCAAGCUGAUAUGCAGGCUGAUCAGGCCACAGCUAUGCAUGUCGUCACAAACACAUACACUCAUACUGACACACGUCCGAGCACAGCAAUGAAGGAAGACCGUGCUAAAAACCAAACCACUGAACCGUCCAGUCAGGGCCAGUUAGACGAAGCAGAUAUAGACGAGUUAAGAAAAUCGGGCACGGAUGUUUACAUAGAAGAGGAAGAGGAGUGGUAUUUAACUGGUACCAACAUGCUGUACAAGCCAAACAGCUGUCCGACACUUUAUUGUGAUUUUGAGUCUGACUUCAAAACUCCCCCUACAAAGGCUAAGAGUAAAAGUGUGGUUGAUGAAAUCAGUCAGAGCGUAGAGGAGAGGCAAACUGAUAAGGAGGUUACUGAGGCGGAGGUGGAGAAAAUGAUAGGAGAAAUGGAAGAGGAAACCGAAGAGGGAGAGACAGACGCUGAAAAGAGAGCGGUGGCUGAGACAGACGCCUGCAGCGUGGAGGAUUAUGGUCCUAAAUCUCGCUUUCGAAGAAGAGGGAUCCGUUUACCUACUAAGAGAAGAAAUGGAGAGUGUGAAAAGGUGGAAGAGGAGGAAGGUGUUGGAAGAGAUCGCAGAACCAGAGUGUUCUUUACUACAGGUAAAGACAGAAAACUAUGUGUGAUCACUGGGAUCAUCUGUUCCAAUCCAAUUACCCUUCCCCAAAUCUACGAAACAGCCUCUCAGCCUUUCUUCCGUCUCCUUAUUUCUUUUAUCCCACGAGUGUGGCAGAUUCCUUUCAGACUUCAUUUCCUGGUUACUUACAGCAAUCAAAUUCACUGA
This 3630-nucleotide long non-coding RNA is filed under the name Nothobranchius furzeri (turquoise killifish). RNAcentral describes it as "lncRNA (ENSNFUG00015001796.1)". The record is from RNAcentral. Lineage: Eukaryota; Metazoa; Chordata; Actinopteri; Cyprinodontiformes; Nothobranchiidae.